This 253-nucleotide ribosomal RNA is filed under the name uncultured bacterium. Its description in RNAcentral is "partial 16S ribosomal RNA". It matches the Rfam family "Bacterial small subunit ribosomal RNA", at positions 524 to 776 of the family's 1533-position model. The record is from RNAcentral.
UACCGAGGUCUCAACCGUUGUUCGGAUUCAUUGGGCGUAAAGGGUGCGUAGGCGGUCGCGCAAGUCGGAUGUGAAAUCUCAGGGCUCAACCCUGAAACUGCAUUCGAUACUGCGUGGCUAGAGUGCUGGAGAGGAGACUGGAAUUUACGGUGUAGCAGUGAAAUGCGUAGAUAUCGUAAGGAAGACCAGUGGCGAAGGCGAGUCUCUGGACAGCAACUGACGCUGAGGCACGAAGGCCAGGGGAGCAAACGGG